RNAcentral lists this ribosomal RNA (1319 nucleotides) under Burkholderia sp. AU44665. RNAcentral's name for it is "partial 23S ribosomal RNA". It matches the Rfam family "Bacterial large subunit ribosomal RNA", at positions 1504 to 2818 of the family's 2925-position model. RNAcentral also lists the same sequence under 1 other name. Lineage: Bacteria; Pseudomonadati; Pseudomonadota; Betaproteobacteria; Burkholderiales; Burkholderiaceae. The record is from RNAcentral.
GUCCCGGUCGCUGCAUUGGAGAAGGCGCUUAGGCAAAUCCGGGCGCAGGAUUCAAGGGUGUGGCGCGAGCUCCUUCGGGAGCGAAGCAAUUGGAAGUGGUUCCAAGAAAAGCCUCUAAGCUUCAGUCUAACGAUGACCGUACCGCAAACCGACACAGGUGGGCGAGAUGAGUAUUCUAAGGCGCUUGAGAGAACUCGGGAGAAGGAACUCGGCAAAUUGGUACCGUAACUUCGGGAUAAGGUACGCCCUUGUAGCUUGACUGGCCUGCGCCAGGAGGGUGAAGGGGUUGCAAUAAACUGGUGGCUGCGACUGUUUAAUAAAAACACAGCACUCUGCAAACACGAAAGUGGACGUAUAGGGUGUGACGCCUGCCCGGUGCCGGAAGAUUAAAUGAUGGGGUGCAAGCUCUUGAUUGAAGUCCCGGUAAACGGCGGCCGUAACUAUAACGGUCCUAAGGUAGCGAAAUUCCUUGUCGGGUAAGUUCCGACCUGCACGAAUGGCGUAACGAUGGCCACACUGUCUCCUCCCGAGACUCAGCGAAGUUGAAGUGUUUGUGAUGAUGCAAUCUACCCGCGGCUAGACGGAAAGACCCCAUGAACCUUUACUGUAGCUUUGCAUUGGACUUUGAACCGAUCUGUGUAGGAUAGGUGGGAGGCUAUGAAACCGGAACGCUAGUUUCGGUGGAGCCGUCCUUGAAAUACCACCCUGGUUUGUUUGAGGUUCUAACCUUGGCCCGUGAUCCGGGUCGGGGACAGUGCAUGGUAGGCAGUUUGACUGGGGCGGUCUCCUCCCAAAGCGUAACGGAGGAGUACGAAGGUACGCUAGGUACGGUCGGAAAUCGUGCUGAUAGUGCAAUGGCAUAAGCGUGCUUAACUGCGAGACCGACAAGUCGAGCAGGUGCGAAAGCAGGUCAUAGUGAUCCGGUGGUUCUGUAUGGAAGGGCCAUCGCUCAACGGAUAAAAGGUACUCUGGGGAUAACAGGCUGAUACCGCCCAAGAGUUCAUAUCGACGGCGGUGUUUGGCACCUCGAUGUCGGCUCAUCUCAUCCUGGGGCUGUAGCCGGUCCCAAGGGUAUGGCUGUUCGCCAUUUAAAGAGGUACGUGAGCUGGGUUUAAAACGUCGUGAGACAGUUUGGUCCCUAUCUGCCGUGGGCGUUGGAUAUUUGAAGGGGGCUGCUCCUAGUACGAGAGGACCGGAGUGGACGAACCUCUGGUGUACCGGUUGUCACGCCAGUGGCAUCGCCGGGUAGCUAUGUUCGGAAGAGAUAACCGCUGAAAGCAUCUAAGCGGGAAACUCGCCUUAAGAUGAGAUAUCCCUGG